This 361-nucleotide ribosomal RNA is filed under the name uncultured bacterium. RNAcentral describes it as "partial 16S ribosomal RNA". It matches the Rfam family "Bacterial small subunit ribosomal RNA", at positions 338 to 696 of the family's 1533-position model. The record is from RNAcentral.
CCUACGGGUGGCUGCAGUGAGGAAUAUUGGUCAAUGGACGGAAGUCUGAACCAGCCAUGCCGCGUGCAGGAAGACGGCUCUAUGAGUUGUAAACUGCUUUUGUACAAGGGUAAACCUGAAUACGUGUAUUCAGCUGAAAGUACUGUACGAAUAAGGAUCGGCUAACUCCGUGCCAGCAGCCGCGGUAAUACGGAGGAUCCAAGCGUUAUCCGGAUUUAUUGGGUUUAAGGGGUGCGUAGGCGGAUUGAUAAGUUAGAGGUGAAAUGGCCGGGCUGGACUCGGGAACUGCCUCUAAGACUGUGGAUGUAGAGGGGAGAUGCGGUAGGCGGGAGGUAGGGGGUAGCGGGGAAAGGCUUAGAGA